This 749-nucleotide long non-coding RNA is filed under the name Heterocephalus glaber (naked mole-rat). RNAcentral's name for it is "lncRNA (ENSHGLG00000039096.1)". The record is from RNAcentral. Lineage: Eukaryota; Metazoa; Chordata; Mammalia; Rodentia; Bathyergidae.
UGGGACCAGUGGUGCUGACUUUGGACACCAGGCCCCAGAACUGGGAAAGAAUAGAUUAGAUUGUUUGAAACCACCAAACUUGUGGCUUAGGAAAUGACUAUCCUCUUUCAUCACUCCCGUUGUUUUUCUCAGGAACAAUGACCAUGCGCCAUUGUAUAGAUGAGGAAGCGCAUGCGCUUGGAGAGGCGGCCCGCUCAGCCCAGGUACAGGCAGAGGCAGAGCCAGGGGACGGACCACAUGCAGCUCAUCCUUCCGGGAGCUUCGCUGGGCAACAAUCAACCUGCUAACACGGGGAUGUCAUUCAAGACCCCCAGGGGCUGCCUGAGACCUCGGACUGCACAAACUCUAUACAACUAUGGUUUUUCCUGUACCGGCAGACCCAUGGUCCCAUCAUCCUUCUGCCAUGUAGAUCUCCAUCAUCCUGCCAUGAAGGUCUCUGUUAUCCUUCUGACUGCCUUGAACAGAUCCUAUGGAAUGAUUCUACCAGCUAUCCAAAGUGUAAUUAUUCUCCUUGAGGUUGAACAACUCAGCUGUUUCCACCCCCUUCCUAUCCCUUACUACCACUCUCAAGACCCUGCAUCAUUAUCUACCCACAGGCUUUUCUUUCUGAGACAAAGUCUUGUUAUAUAGUUCAGGCUGGCCUUAAAAUCACUGUGUAACCCAGACUGGCCUCAAAUCACUGUGAUCGUCCUGCCUCAGCCUCCCAAGUGCUGAGGUUACAGAUGUGUGUGACCAGACCAGCUUCACUC